UUCCUAGCAACAAUGUCAUCAUAGCAGUUGUGAAACAGUAGGUUACCUCUGCUGAUUGCAGAUUUUUUAAAGCUCAGCAUGCAGGCUCUUGUUCAUUGCUUGUGUAAAUAGACAGCUAAUGGUGUUGAAAAAUAAUAUUUUGUAGCUGAGAAUUUGCUCUAUCAUGUAGUGUUAUUGUGUUCAUUGUAUCUGUUGAAGUUUCCAUGAAAAUAUAUAGGAGGAAUUACUUUGAGAGCAACCUACUUAACUUUGUAUAUCUUCUGUGAAUGAGCAGAGAAUUUCAGUAUUCAGGGUAACACCUUUUGAAAUGACAUGCAUAUGGAAUCACUUUAAAACAGCUGAAAACCUAAUAACAGGUGUGAGUUUGACAGUAACUCCUACAAAAUUGCAAUGUUUUUCACUGCAUGGGAGGCAAAACUAAAUGAGAUGGAUGUUGUUAGCAUCUGGUAAUCAUGGUAACAAUUUUUUUAGAUGGUCCAAUGUCAUUUAUGGCACUCUGAGUGAGACCUAUCGCUGUAACUGAUGGUGCCCUGCCAUUGAAUGGUAGCAUCUCAGUCUGCUCUUUUGUAAUAGAGCAAUAUGGAGGAUGCCUGUUUUUGCAACAUUAAGAGGGAAAAGGAGCCAGGUAUCUUUUUCAGCCAUUACACCAGAAGUGGUUCAAUGCAAAUACCUGCAGCCACAUGCUAAAGACCUGCUAUUUGGAAAAGAACUACCUUCCCCCCUCCCCCCCCCCCCCCACAGUGAAAGUAAUUGACGAGAAUAGAAUAGAUUCCUUGAAUUCAAUUUUCUGCCUCCAGUUAAGUCUGGGAAAAAACACUAUUCUGUUCCUAUGUGUCCUAUGGUCACCUUGUCCUUGCUCUUACACUCUGUAUGAAAAUUUUGCUGAAUGCAUGACAUAAUAGCAUAUGUUCUCUAGUGCUGAAAUCCAAUGUUGAUUUGAGGCAGAAUAGAUGUGGGUUACUUGCAUAGAUUGCUUUCAUUCUUCAAGUUCUCCAAGAAUUUCCAUCAGUGCUGUACUAAGUAUCUUCUGGGAUAGUUUGGUCCUGUGUGAAGCCCCCUUCUAUAUCAGAUUUUCUUAGACUGCGGAGUAUCCACUUCUUCUUUGUUUGUUUGCUUGCUUGGUUUGUUUUCAUGCAGUGUCUUUUGCGGUAACAUUAAGUUCCAUGACACAUGUCACUGAAAUAUGAAUAGGGAAGAUGAUGUUACUUAAAAGGAAUGUAGCGGUAGGAGUGUUCCAGUUUUGUUUUGAAGAUGAGGCCCUUCAUAAUGUUUUAGUGAACAUCAGUGCUUCAAGUCCAGAAGGGCAAGAGGAGAUGAGGUUAUAGAACAAACAGCUGCAGUGCUGCUCCUGGAGAGAGAUGUGGGAGAGCUGUAGUUGCUAUAUGGAGAUAAAAGGGAACAAAAGUGAACUUUAUUCAAGGAAGCAAAAAAGAUAAGAAUGCAGAGAUUCUAAUGUGCUGAGUUUAAAACAAACAUUCAAAAGCAAAUGAGAAAGACUCCUGUAAUCUUACACUGUUUCUACAUUGUUGCUAAUUAACAGGCUUUGCUGGUCUUAACUGGCUCUUCGGAAGUAUUAUAAGCAAGAGAAACGUGUUUGCUUCUGAUCUUUCUCCUAGAUCUUCUGUAAAGGAAGUUAUAUCCCACUUAGUACUGAGUAGUAAAAUACUUAAUGGUACAACUGAAAUACUGUUCCAUUUUAUACUAGAAUGGAAUGCAUUUUUAUUCAUUAAUUUAUUCUUCAUGCAUUUUUUCAUCUCCAAAUCUUUUUACAAUGGAAAUAAGGAAAUAUGGUACCUUUUCUGAAAUGUUUAUAAUGUGUUACCUGUAUCUAUAUCAGCAGUAAAUCCUAAUAA
Molecule: long non-coding RNA, 1853 nt
Organism: Gallus gallus (chicken)
Lineage: Eukaryota; Metazoa; Chordata; Aves; Galliformes; Phasianidae
Source: Ensembl